RNAcentral lists this small RNA (315 nucleotides) under Theobroma cacao (cacao). Its description in RNAcentral is "sRNA Tc10v2_g008270". The record is from RNAcentral. Lineage: Eukaryota; Viridiplantae; Streptophyta; Magnoliopsida; Malvales; Malvaceae.
GGGAAAAUUGGUGGAUUUCAAGUAAUCAAGCAAUUAAAGGUGGUGAGUCCUCCGACAAGGGCAAGGAAAUUAUACUCGAGGAUCGAUAGUUUGAGUACUAUAGAAAUUCGACUCCUGAAAUAGCUCAGAAUAAACUGUAGAUAGCUGAUCGCAUCGAGGACUACCAUUGGAAUUGCAUUUUCCAAACUGUAGGUUCACGAUCCUCUUUACUUUUGAAUAUUCGGGGGUCCCACUUGUCACUAUAAAUUAAAUUUCAUACUCCAGUUAUCUGUACUACUGUAUAUAGGAAUUUAUUUUGCUUUUAUGUUGUGAAAA